AAUAUUGGACAAUGGGGGCAACCCUGAUCCAGCCAUGCCGCGUGUGUGAAGAAGGUCUUCGGAUUGUAAAGCAAUUUAAGGUGGGAGGAAGGGCUGUAGGUUAAUACACUGAAGUUUUGACGUUACCAACAGAAUAAGCACCGGCUACCUCUGGGCCAGCAGCAGCGGUAAUACAGAGGGUGCAAGGUUUAAUCGGAAUUACGGGGCGUAAAGCGCGCGUAGGUGGUUCAGUAAGAUGGGUGUGAAAUCCCCGGGCUUAACCUGGGAACUGCUUUCAUAACUGCUGAGCUAGAGUACGGUAGAGGGUAGUGGAAUUUCCUGUGUAGCGGUGAAAUGCGUAGAUAUAGGAAGGAACACCAGUGGCGAAGGCGACUACCUGGACUGAUACUGACACUGAGGUGCGAAAGCGUGGGGAGCAAAC
Molecule: ribosomal RNA, 421 nt
Filed under: uncultured bacterium
Lineage: Bacteria
Description: partial 16S ribosomal RNA
Rfam family: Bacterial small subunit ribosomal RNA
Source: RNAcentral